Molecule: microRNA precursor, 221 nt
Organism: Oryza rufipogon (brownbeard rice)
Lineage: Eukaryota; Viridiplantae; Streptophyta; Magnoliopsida; Poales; Poaceae
Rfam family: MIR812 microRNA precursor family
Source: Rfam
AAAAAGACAAACCCUGGGUUUCCGUGUCCAAUAUUUGAUUGCCCGUCUUAUAUGAAAUUUUUUUAUAAUUAGUAUUUUUAUUGUUGUUAAAUGAUAAAUGAUAAAACAUAAAACAUGAUUAAUACUUUAUGCGUGACUUGUCUUUUUAAUUUUUUUCAUAUUUUUUUCAAAUAAGACAGACGGUCAAACGUUGGACACGAAAACCUAGGGUUUGUCUUCUU